GGCGCACGGGUGAGUAACACGUGAAUUACAUGCCCUUCAGUGGGGAAUAGCCCAGGGAAACUUGGAUUAAUACCCCAUAGUCUCGCAAGAGUAAAGGUGGCCGCAAGGCUGUCGCUGAAGGAUGAGCUCGCGGCCUAUCAGCUAGUUGGUGAGGUAAAGGCUCACCAAGGCGACGACGGGUAGCCGGCCUGAGAGGGUGACCGGCCACACUGGAACUGAGAUACGGUCCAGACUCCUACGGGAGGCAGCAGUGGGGAAUAUUGCACAAUGGGCGAAAGCCUGAUGCAGCAACGCCGCGUGAGGGAUGAAGGCCUUCGGGUUGUAAACCUCUUUUAGCAGGGAAGAAGCGAAAGUGACGGUACCUGCAGAAAAAGCACCGGCUAACUACGUGCCAGCAGCCGCGGUAAUACGUAGGGUGCAAGCGUUGUCCGGAAUUAUUGGGCGUAAAGAGCUCGUAGGCGGUUUGUCGCGUCUGCUGUGAAAAUCCAAGGCUCAACCUUGGACCUGCAGUGGGUACGGGCAGACUAGAGUGCGGUAGGGGAGAUGGGAAUUCCUGGUGUAGCGGUGGAAUGCGCAGAUAUCAGGAGGAACACCAAUGGCGAAGGCACAUCUCUGGGCCGUAACUGACGCUGAGGAGCGAAAGCGUGGGGAGCGAACAGGAUUAGAUACCCUGGUAGUCCACGCCGUAAACGGUGGGUGCUAGCUGUGGGCCACAUUCCACGUGGUCCGUGACGAAGUUAACACAUUAAGCACCCCGCCUGGGGAGUACGGUCGCAAGACUAAAACUCAAAGGAAUUGACGGGGGCCCGCACAAGCGGCGGAGCAUGCGG
Molecule: ribosomal RNA, 830 nt
Filed under: uncultured bacterium
Lineage: Bacteria
Description: bacterial SSU rRNA
Rfam family: Bacterial small subunit ribosomal RNA
Source: RNAcentral